AUUUUCCGGUGAUCUGCCGGACCCGACCGCUAUCGGGGUGGGGCUAAGCCAUGGGAGUCGUACGCUCCGGUUACCGGGGCGUGGCGGACGGCUGAGUAACACGUGGCUAACCUACCCUCGGGACGGGGAUAGUCCCGGGAAACUGGGGCUAAUCCCCGAUAGGUGGAGCGGCCUGGAAGGGUCCUCCACCGAAAGGGUGUCGCGGGGAUGUCCGCGGCGCCGCCCGAGGAUGGGGCCACGGCCCAUCAGGUAGUUGGCGGGGUAACGGCCCGCCAAGCCUAUAACGGGUAGGGGCCGUGAGAGCGGGAGCCCCCAGAUGGGCCCUGAGACAAGGGCCCAGGCCCUACGGGGCGCAGCAGGCGCGAAACCUCCACAAUGCGCGAAAGCGCGAUGGGGUCACUCCGAGUGCCGCCCGCUGAGGGCGGCUUUUCCCGGGCCUAAAAAGCCCGGGGAAUAAGGGGAGGGCAAGCCUGGUGUCAGCCGCCGCGGUAAUACCAGCUCCCCGAGUGGUCGGGACGAUUAUUGGGCCUAAAGCAUCCGUAGCCGGCCCGGUAGGUCUCCUGUUAAAUCCAACGGCUCAACCGUUGGGCCGCAGGAGAUACCGCCGGGCUAGGGGGCGGGAGAGGCGGACGGUAUUCCGCGGGUAGGGGUAAAAUCCUCUGAUCCGCGGAGGACCACCAGUGGCGAAGGCGGUCCGCCAGAACGCGCCCGACGGUGAGGGAUGAAAGCUGGGGGAGCGAACCGGAUUAGAUACCCGGGUAGUCCCAGCUGUAAACGAUGCGGGCUAGGUGCUGGAAAGGGCUACGGGCCUUUCCAGUGGCCGCAGGGAAGCCGUUAAGCCCGCCGCCUGGGGAGUACGGCCGCAAGGCUGAAACUUAAAGAAAUUGGCGGGGACACCACAAGAGUUGAAGCCUGCGGUUCAUUUGAUUCAACGCCGGAAUCUCUAGAGGAUCCCC
RNAcentral lists this ribosomal RNA (956 nucleotides) under uncultured archaeon. RNAcentral describes it as "partial 16S ribosomal RNA". It matches the Rfam family "Archaeal small subunit ribosomal RNA", at positions 1 to 940 of the family's 1478-position model. The record is from RNAcentral.